AUCUUGGAUCCGCGGGACAAGAAAAUUCAUGCGAGGGAGACGUGGUGGGCGGUCCUUCCUGUGACACGACCCUUGAGUGACAGUUCUAUUUGAUUGCCUCCGGUACUGUGAGGAAAGGACACGACUCUAUGGUGAGGACUGAUGGACAUACAUUAUCUGAGAAAAGAAACUACCAGGUGACAAACAGCAUGUUUGGUGCUUCAAGAAAGAAGUUUGUAGAGGGGGUCGACAGUGACUACCAUGAUGAAAACAUGUACUACAGCCAGUCUUCUAUGUUUCCACAUCGGUCAGAAAAAGAUAUGCUGGCAUCACCAUCUACAUCAGGUCAGCUGUCUCAGUUUGGGGCAAGUUUAUACGGGCAACAAAGUGCACUAGGCCUUCCAAUGAGGGGAAUGAGCAACAAUACCCCUCAGUUAAAUCGCAGCUUAUCACAAGGCACUCAGUUACCGAGCCACGUCACGCCAACAACAGGGGUACCAACAAUGUCACUUCACACGCCUCCAUCUCCAAGCAGGUAUUUAUUGAUGGACCAGAAUAUUUUUCAAAAUGUAUCUUGGUAGAGUAAACAAACUUUUAG
Molecule: small RNA, 577 nt
Filed under: Pongo abelii (Sumatran orangutan)
Lineage: Eukaryota; Metazoa; Chordata; Mammalia; Primates; Hominidae
Description: retained intron
Source: RNAcentral